CUCAAUAAGAGGUCCAGCCUGCCAGUGACCCUGUUCAACGGCCGCGGUAUCCUAACCGUGCGAAGGUAGCGUAAUCACUUGUUCUUUAAAUGAGGACUAGUAUGAAUGGCAUCACGAAGGUUAUACUGUCUCCUCUCUCUAAUCAGUGAAACUAAUCUCCCCGUGAAGAAGCGGGGAUAAUCUUAUAAGACGAGAAGACCCUAUGGAGCUUUAAACUAAGAAGCAAUUGCCCUCAUACCUUCGAAAUUCCAGAAAACUAAUGAGUACAAGGCACUGUGACUUCCGGUUUUAGGUUGGGGUGACCACGGAGUAAAAACUAACCUCCGUACUGAAUAGGGGCCUUCCCUAAACUAAGGGCCACAACCCCAAGAAUCAAUACAUUGACAGCAAUUGACCCAAAAAAAUUUGAUCAAUGAACCAAGUUACCCUAGGGAUAACAGCGCAAUCCACUUCAAGAGCUCCUAUCGACAAGUGGGUUUACGACCUCGAUGUUGGAUCAGGGUACCCCAGUGGUGCAGCCGCUACUAACGGUUCGU
This 536-nucleotide ribosomal RNA is filed under the name Leptodactylus cf. vastus MNKA9658. RNAcentral's name for it is "partial 16S ribosomal RNA". It matches the Rfam family "Bacterial large subunit ribosomal RNA", at positions 1894 to 2576 of the family's 2925-position model. Lineage: Eukaryota; Metazoa; Chordata; Amphibia; Anura; Leptodactylidae. The record is from RNAcentral.